This is a long non-coding RNA of Stegostoma tigrinum, 314 nucleotides long. RefSeq lists it as uncharacterized. The record is from RefSeq and is a predicted model, not a curated record. NCBI's taxonomy places the organism in Eukaryota, Metazoa, Chordata, Chondrichthyes, Orectolobiformes, Stegostomatidae. The transcript is spliced from 3 exons.
CACCUCGCCUGUAGAGAAAACACUUCUGUCAAUGUUUGAACCAAGGUUCAAGUGAGAUUGUGAGCUGAAUGGCCCUUGCAGAUUCCAAACUGAGUCGCAUAAUUGGAGGAGGCUACAGAAAAAGGGAGCGUCGUGGCCGUGGAGGAACGCUAACAACAGAGUUCAAAGUCUAAGCUCAAGGUCUGCCAAGCACACAGCUUGGAAUUUGUAUCUCCACACUUGUUAUAUUGAGGACCAAUCUAUUAUAUUCCGGAGGUGAAGCAUAAAACCAAGAGGAAUGAGAGAAUCCAUAACCCCAACUUGCAAACUAAGGU